RNAcentral lists this ribosomal RNA (253 nucleotides) under uncultured bacterium. Its description in RNAcentral is "partial 16S ribosomal RNA". It matches the Rfam family "Bacterial small subunit ribosomal RNA", at positions 524 to 775 of the family's 1533-position model. The record is from RNAcentral.
UACGAAGGGGGCUAGCGUUGUUCGGAAUUACUGGGCGUAAAGCGCGUGUAGGCGGGUCUUUAAGUCAGGGGUGAAAUCCCGGGGCUCAACCUCGGAAUUGCCUUUGAUACUGUCUAUCUUCGAGUUCGGGAGAGGUUGGCGGAAUUCCUAGUGUAGAGGUGAAAUUCGUAGAUAUUAGGAAGAACACCAGUGGCGAAGGCGGCCAACUGGCCCGAUACUGACGCUCAUGUGCGAAAGCGUGGGGAGCAAACAG